Molecule: ribosomal RNA, 644 nt
Filed under: Clostridioides difficile
Lineage: Bacteria; Bacillati; Bacillota; Clostridia; Peptostreptococcales; Peptostreptococcaceae
Description: bacterial LSU rRNA
Rfam family: Bacterial large subunit ribosomal RNA
Source: RNAcentral
GCGGUCGCCUCCCAAAAGGUAACGGAGGCGCUCAAAGGUUCUCUCAGUACGGUCGGAAAUCGUACGUAGAGUGUAAAGGCAAAAGAGAGCUUGAUUGCAAGACAUACAGGUCGAGCAAGGAUGAAAAUCGGACUUAGUGAUCCGGUGGUUCUGCGUGGAAGGGCCAUCGCUCAACGGAUAAAAGCUACCCUGGGGAUAACAGGCUUAUCUCCCCCAAGAGUCCACAUCGACGGGGAGGUUUGGCACCUCGAUGUCGGCUCAUCACAUCCUGGGGCUGUAGUAGGUCCCAAGGGUUGGGCUGUUCGCCCAUUAAAGUGGUACGCGAGCUGGGUUCAGAACGUCGUGAGACAGUUCGGUCCCUAUCCGUCGCAGGCGUAGGAAAUUUGAGAAGACCUGUCCUUAGUACGAGAGGACCGGGAUGGACGUACCUCUGGUGUACCAGUUGUCCUGCCAAGGGCAUGGCUGGGUAGCUAUGUACGGAAUGGAUAAGCGCUGAAAGCAUCUAAGCGCGAAGCCAACUUCAAGAUAAGAUUUCCCACCGCAAGGGUAAGACCCCAGAAAGACUAUCUGGUUGAUAGGUCGAAGGUGUAAGUGCAGCAAUGUAUUUAGCUUAUCGAUACUAAUAGGUCGAGGACUUGACCAAU